Molecule: ribosomal RNA, 1372 nt
Filed under: uncultured bacterium
Lineage: Bacteria
Description: bacterial SSU rRNA
Rfam family: Bacterial small subunit ribosomal RNA
Source: RNAcentral
GAUGAACGCUGGCGGCGUGCCUAAUACAUGCAAGUCGAGCGAACGGACGAGAAGCUUGCUUCUCUGAUGUUAGCGGCGGACGGGUGAGUAACACGUGGAUAACCUACCUAUAAGACUGGGAUAACUUCGGGAAACCGGAGCUAAUACCGGAUAAUAUUUUGAACCGCAUGGUUCAGAAGUGAAAGACGGUCUUGCUGUCACUUAUAGAUGGAUCCGCGCUGCAUUAGCUAGUUGGUAAGGUAACGGCUUACCAAGGCAACGAUGCAUAGCCGACCUGAGAGGGUGAUCGGCCACACUGGAACUGAGACACGGUCCAGACUCCUACGGGAGGCAGCAGUAGGGAAUCUUCCGCAAUGGGCGAAAGCCUGACGGAGCAACGCCGCGUGAGUGAUGAAGGUCUUCGGAUCGUAAAACUCUGUUAUUAGGGAAGAACAUAUGUGUAAGUAACUGUGCACAUCUUGACGGUACCUAAUCAGAAAGCCACGGCUAACUACGUGCCAGCAGCCGCGGUAAUACGUAGGUGGCAAGCGUUAUCCGGAAUUAUUGGGCGUAAAGCGCGCGUAGGCGGUUUUUUAAGUCUGAUGUGAAAGCCCACGGCUCAACCGUGGAGGGUCAUUGGAAACUGGAAAACUUGAGUGCAGAAGAGGAAAGUGGAAUUCCAUGUGUAGCGGUGAAAUGCGCAGAGAUAUGGAGGAACACCAGUGGCGAAGGCGACUUUCUGGUCUGUAACUGACGCUGAUGUGCGAAAGCGUGGGGAUCAAACAGGAUUAGAUACCCUGGUAGUCCACGCCGUAAACGAUGAGUGCUAAGUGUUAGGGGGUUUCCGCCCCUUAGUGCUGCAGCUAACGCAUUAAGCACUCCGCCUGGGGAGUACGACCGCAAGGUUGAAACUCAAAGGAAUUGACGGGGACCCGCACAAGCGGUGGAGCAUGUGGUUUAAUUCGAAGCAACGCGAAGAACCUUACCAAAUCUUGACAUCCUUUGACAACUCUAGAGAUAGAGCCUUCCCCUUCGGGGGACAAAGUGACAGGUGGUGCAUGGUUGUCGUCAGCUCGUGUCGUGAGAUGUUGGGUUAAGUCCCGCAACGAGCGCAACCCUUAAGCUUAGUUGCCAUCAUUAAGUUGGGCACUCUAAGUUGACUGCCGGUGACAAACCGGAGGAAGGUGGGGAUGACGUCAAAUCAUCAUGCCCCUUAUGAUUUGGGCUACACACGUGCUACAAUGGACAAUACAAAGGGCAGCGAAACCGCGAGGUCAAGCAAAUCCCAUAAAGUUGUUCUCAGUUCGGAUUGUAGUCUGCAACUCGACUACAUGAAGCUGGAAUCGCUAGUAAUCGUAGAUCAGCAUGCUACGGUGAAUACGUUCCCGGGUCU